UACGUAGGGGGCAAGCGUUAUCCGGAUUUACUGGGUGUAAAGGGAGCGUAGACGGCAAGGCAAGUCUGAUGUGAAAACCCAGGGCUUAACCCUGGGACUGCAUUGGAAACUGUCUGGCUCGAGUGCCGGAGAGGUAAGCGGAAUUCCUAGUGUAGCGGUGAAAUGCAUAGAUAUUAGGAAGAACACCAGUGGCGAAGGCGGCUUACUGGACGGUAACUGACGUUGAGGCUCGAAAGCGUGGGGAGCAAACAGG
RNAcentral lists this ribosomal RNA (253 nucleotides) under Fusicatenibacter saccharivorans. RNAcentral's name for it is "partial 16S ribosomal RNA". It matches the Rfam family "Bacterial small subunit ribosomal RNA", at positions 524 to 776 of the family's 1533-position model. The record is from RNAcentral. Lineage: Bacteria; Bacillati; Bacillota; Clostridia; Lachnospirales; Lachnospiraceae.